RNAcentral lists this long non-coding RNA (3215 nucleotides) under Sus scrofa (pig). Its description in RNAcentral is "lncRNA (ENSSSCG00000053896.1)". The record is from RNAcentral. Lineage: Eukaryota; Metazoa; Chordata; Mammalia; Artiodactyla; Suidae.
AUGCUAAGUGGAAGAAGCCAGAUUAAAAAGGCUACAUACUGUACAGUUUUAUUUGUAUGAGAUUUUGGACAAGGUAAAACUAUAGGGAUAGAAAACAAAUUAAUGGUUGCUAGGGAAAGUAUUGAGGGAGAAAAGAGCCAGAGGGAAUUUUAUUUUAGGGUGAUAAAACUACUCCAUAUUUUGUUUGUGCCAGUGGAGGUUGUGUGUCAUAGAGAAAGGAAGAUUUCACUUUUUCUAAAUUAUAUCUUACUCUAACUUUAUUUUUUAUUAAAAUAUAAUAGAUUUACAAUAUUGUGCUAAUGUCUGCUGUACAGAAAAGUGACCCAGUCAUACACACACACACACACACACAUUUUUCUCCUAUUAUAUUCCAUCACGGUCUAUCUCAAGAAAUUGAUAUAAUUUCCUGUGCUAUACAGUAGGACCUUAUUGUCUAUUCAUUGCAGCUACUGACCCCAAAUGUAAUAGUUUGCAUCUACUAACCCCAGACUCCCAGUCCAUCUCACUCCCUCCCUCUUGCCCUUUAAUUCUUCCAUGUUUAGACUAUAAUAAUAUAAUUUUUAAAAAGCAAAUGAAAAAUUGGGCAAAAAUAUAUGUAACAUGUGGGACAGACAAAAGGUUAUUUAACAUAUACAAACUUUUAUAAAUUUAUAAGAAAAAGAUGAAUAUGCCAAUUUAUAAAUAUCUAAAGGAUUUACAUCAAAAAUUUACAGAAGAGAAAAUACAAGUAGCCCAUGAAUUUAAAAAUUCUUCAUUAAUAUAAAGGACUGUGAGGGGAAAUCAGCCAAAUAGUGGAAUAGAAAGAACUUGAGCUCUAAUUUUCUCACAGGCAUAACAAAAUCAAAACUUUAUACAGAACAACCAUCAGUGAAAAAAUCAGAACCUACCAGAAAAGGUCUUUUACAACUAAAGAUAUAAGGAAGGAACCACAAGACUGCUAAGAGAGGAAAACUCAAAAUAUAGUCAAGUUCUAGAUUCCCUGGGUGGCUGACUCACAGACAGGAGAAAAAUUGCAGUUGCCGAGUUUCUCCCAAGGAAGUGAGAGAUCUGAGCCCCAGGUCCUGCACCAGGAAGAUAAACCCUCAGAGAAUUCAGCUUCGAAGGGCAAUGGGGCUUACUUUUGGGACUCCCAGAGGGAUGAGGAAAAUAGAUACUUCACCCUUAAGGACACACACAGUAUCUCACACUCUGGCACUCAGGGCAGAAUCAGCUGAAGCAGUAUUUUGAUAGGAACCUGGAUAAAUCUUACCUACUGGUCUUGGAGAGUCUCAUGGAGAGAUGGGAGGCAACUAGGGCUCAAACUGAGGACAUAAACACUGGUGGCAGCCAUUUUGGGGAGCAUUUUCCUACUACAAGGACACUGGUGCUGAAAAGCACCAUUGUGGAAUCCUUCUAGCUUAUUGCCCCAGGAAGCAGUCCCACCCUGGCCCAUCAGCCUGUAGGUACCCAUGUUGGGGUGCCUCAUGCCAAUAAAGUAGACAACCAAGAAGAAAUGGACAAAUUCUUAUAAAUGUACAAUUUCUCAUGAUGAACCAGGAAGAAAUAGGACAUGUGAACAGACCAAUUAGUAGUAAUGAAAUUGAAUCAGUAAUAAAUAAAUUCCCAACAAAUGAAAGUCCAGGACUAAAUGGCUUCACAGGUGAAUUCUACCAAACAUUUAGAUAAGAGUUAACACUUAUCCUUCCAAAAUAUUUCAAAAAAUAUCAGAGAAAGGAAUCCUCCUGAACUCAUUCUAUGAGGCCAGCAUCACCUGAUACCAAACCAAAUAUAUCACAGAAAAAGAAAGUUACAGGCCAAUAUCAUUAUUGAACAUAGAUGCAAAAAUCUUCAACAAAAUUAGUAAACCUAAUCCAACAAUACAUUGGGAAAUCAAGUGGGAUUUAUCCCAGAGAUGCAAGUAUUUUUCAGUAUCCUCAAAUCAAUCAAUGUGAUACAUCACAUUAAAAAACUGAAGAAUAAAAGCCAUAAUAUCAUCUCAAUAAAUGCAGGAAAAGCUUUGACAAAAUUCGACAUUCAUUGUUGAUAAAAACUCUACAGAAAAUGGGCAUAUAUGGAACAUAUCUCAACAUAAUAAAGGGCAUAUAUGAUGAACUUCCAGCUAACGUCAUACUCAGCAGCUUUAGGAACAAGACAAGAAUGCCCACUCUCGUUACAGCAAUUAGACAAGAAAAAGAGAGAAAAGGAAUCCAAAUUAGAAAGAGAGAAGUAAAACUGUCCUUGUUUGCAGAUGACAUGAUAAUAUUCAUAGAAAACCUUCAAGAUACCACCAAAAACAGAGCUCAUCAAUGAUUUUGGUAAAGUUGCAGGGUACAAAAUUAUAUACAGAAAUCUGUUGUAUUUCUAUACAUUAAUAACUAACUCUUGUUAUUCUAUUAGAAAGAGGAUUUAACAAUCUUCAUCAUUUACAAUCACAUCAAAAAUAAAAUACCUAGGAAUAAGCCUGUUAAAGGAGAUGAAAGACAUAUGCUGAGGACUAUAAGACAUUAAUCAAGGAAAUUAGGGAAGAUUCAAAGAAAUGGAAAGAUAUACCAUGCUCUUGGAUUUGGAAGAGUCAAUAUUGAUAAAAUGAACAUACCAUCCAAGACAUUCUAUAAAUUCAGUGCAAUCCCUAUUAAACUAUCAAUGCAUUUUUUACAGAACUAGAACAAUCAUUUUAAAUUUUAUUUGAGAAGGCACAAAAGACUGUGAAUAGCCAAAACAAUCUGGAGAAAGAAGAAGAGUGCUGGAGGAAUCACACUCCCUGAUCUCAGACUAUACUACAAAGCCACUGUAAUCAAAAGAGUAUGGUGCUGGUGCAUAAAGAGAUACAUAGAUCAAUGGAACAGAAGAGAGAGCCUGGAAAUAAACACAUGCACUUAUGGCCAAUUAAUCUACAACAAAGGAGGAAAUAAUAUACAAUGGAGAAAAGACAGUCUUUCAAGAAGUGGUGCUGGGAAAACUGGACAGCUACAUGUAAAAUAAUAAAAUUAGAAUAUUAGAGUUCCUGUCGUGGCUCAGUGGUUAAUGAAUCCGACUUGGAACCAUGAGGUUGUGGGUUCAAUCCCUGGUCUCGCUCAUUGGGAUAAGGAUCCAGCAUUGCCACGAGCUGUGGUGUAAGUUGCAGACAUGUUUCAGAUCCAGCGCUGCUGUGGCUGUGGUAUAGGCCAGCAGCUAUAGCUCUGAUUAGAUCCCUAGCCCGGGAAUCUCCAUAUGCCGCGAGUAUGGCCCUAGAAAAG